UCCUAGAACGGCCUGAGGUAGAGGGGUUUUAGUCGGUAGGUCCGAGGACUUCUUCCUCGGGAAUCCGACACUACCCAGUCGUACAGACGGCUGGGUGUCUUUUGAAGAUUUUCCCUCUUUUAGGA
Agrilus planipennis (emerald ash borer) is the source of this 125-nucleotide non-coding RNA. The record is from Rfam. Lineage: Eukaryota; Metazoa; Arthropoda; Insecta; Coleoptera; Buprestidae.